AGGAUUUGAAGGAAAAUGACCCAAAAUGCUUGUGUUAUAUCAUCCAACAGACUAAUAAUGGUAGUGCUCAGAUCAAGAACUUGGGUAUCCAAAAGGAUAGGUCCUUCUGCUUGCCAGCUCCAAAAUGCCAGUGUUAGCUUUUGCCCUAAGCUUCUUGGCCUCUCUCCUAGCUCCCCAGAUGCUGCUAUUUUCACAAAUAUUACAGCAACAACUACCCCCACUACUCCCACCGGAGGAGCAUCAGCAUCGGAGAAAUCUGACGCCUCCAUUAUGACCAUGCAUAGACCUGAUAACACCUUUUUGGUCCUGUGGCUAUUGCUAUGGCCAUUUUUAUCUACACUUUCUCCACUGAUCAAUCUACGUUUAUGUUCUAAACCUGAGAACAUCCAUGGAAGGCCG
RNAcentral lists this unclassified non-coding RNA (399 nucleotides) under Hevea brasiliensis (rubber tree). The record is from RNAcentral. Lineage: Eukaryota; Viridiplantae; Streptophyta; Magnoliopsida; Malpighiales; Euphorbiaceae.